RNAcentral lists this ribosomal RNA (468 nucleotides) under uncultured bacterium. Its description in RNAcentral is "partial 16S ribosomal RNA". It matches the Rfam family "Bacterial small subunit ribosomal RNA", at positions 28 to 507 of the family's 1533-position model. The record is from RNAcentral.
GACGAACGCUGGCGGCGUGCUUAACACAUGCAAGUCGAACGGAAAGGCCCUGCUUUUGUGGGGUGCUCGAGUGGCGAACGGGUGAGUAACACGUGAGUAACCUGCCCUUGACUUUGGGAUAACUUCAGGAAACUGGGGCUAAUACCGGAUAGGAGCUCCUGCUGCAUGGUGGGGGUUUGAAAGUUUCGGCGGUUGGGGAUGGACUCGCGGCUUAUCAGCCUGUUGGUGGGGUAGUGGCUUACCAAGGCUUUGACGGGUAGCCGGCCUGAGAGGGUGACCGGCAACAUUGGGAAUGAGAUAAGGCCCAGAAUCCUACGGGAGGAAGCAGUGGGGAAUAUUGCACAAUGGGCGGAAGCCGGAUGCAGCAACGCCGCGUGGGGGAUGAAGGCCGUCGGGUUGUAAACCGCUUUCGCCUGUGACGAAGCGUGAGUGACGGUAAUGGGUAAAGAAGCACCGGCUAACUACGUG